AGAGCGAACGCUGGCGGCAGGCUUAACACAUGCAAGUCGAGCGGGCGUAGCAAUACGGUCAGCGGCAGACGGGUGAGUAACGCGUGGGAACGUACCUUUUGGUUCGGAACAACACAGGGAAACUUGUGCUAAUACCGGAUAAGCCCUUACGGGGAAAGAUUUAUCGCCGAAAGAUCGGCCCGCGUCUGAUUAGCUAGUUGGUGAGGUAAUGGCUCACCAAGGCGACGAUCAGUAGCUGGUCUGAGAGGAUGAUCAGCCACAUUGGGACUGAGACACGGCCCAAAACUCCUACGGGAGGCAGCAGUGGGGAAUAUUGGACAAUGGGCGCAAGCCUGAUCCAGCCAUGCCGCGUGAGUGAUGAAGGCCCUAGGGUUGUAAAGCUCUUUUGUGCGGGAAGAUAAUGACGGUACCGCAAGAAUAAGCCCCGGCUAACUUCGUGCCAGCAGCCGC
RNAcentral lists this ribosomal RNA (450 nucleotides) under uncultured bacterium. RNAcentral's name for it is "SSU rRNA". It matches the Rfam family "Bacterial small subunit ribosomal RNA", at positions 26 to 518 of the family's 1533-position model. The record is from RNAcentral.